GACGAACGCUGGCGGCGUGCUUAACACAUGCAAGUCGAACGGACAGGCCCUGCUUUUGUUGGGUGCUCGAGUGGCGAACGGGUGAGUAAAACGUGAGUAACCUGCACUUGUCUUUGGGAUAAAUUCAGGAAACUGGGGCUAAUACCGGAUAGGAGCUCCUGAUGCAUGGGGGGGAUUGGAAAGUUUCGGCGGUUGUGGAUGGUCUCGCGGGUUAUCCGCUUGUUGGUGGGGUAGUGGAUGACCAAGUCUUUGAAGGGUAGCCGGCCUGAGAGGUUGGACGGGGACAAGGGUACUAAGGUACGGACCAGACGGCUAUGUGAGGCAGUGGGGGGGAAUAUGACACAGUGAGCGGGAGCCUGAGACGACGACGCCGCGUUCGGAAUGCUGGCCUACUGGUUAUGAACCGCUUUCGCCUGUGACGAGGAGUGAGUGACGGUAAUUGGUAAAGAAGCACCGGCUAACUACGUG
Molecule: ribosomal RNA, 468 nt
Filed under: uncultured bacterium
Lineage: Bacteria
Description: partial 16S ribosomal RNA
Rfam family: Bacterial small subunit ribosomal RNA
Source: RNAcentral